Molecule: unclassified non-coding RNA, 363 nt
Filed under: Bombus terrestris (buff-tailed bumblebee)
Lineage: Eukaryota; Metazoa; Arthropoda; Insecta; Hymenoptera; Apidae
Description: misc RNA ENSBTSG00005027776.1
Source: RNAcentral
AUUUAUGAUAGUGAGCUCGGGCUCGAGGCGACAACCAGUCGCCGAACGUAGCCGCGGUCAAGGGAUGAACGCUUUGUCUAACAAAGAUGAUUGCCAGAUGUUAACGCAUCUCCACAGUAUAUGUUUAGCUAGCCUGAGGACCCGUUAUAAAUCUCAAGAUUUAGUUAACUAAAGUCCUUCAAACAGACAAAUAGUCUUUGUCCCAUCUACGGGAAAAUAUGAGAAACCUAUUUUUUCACGAACGACGCUUCCCGCUAGCAACUUUCUCUUAAGGGCGGCUAGCACCCUUCCCUAACCACCAACAUGGAAAUUGACCAAUUAACAGUAACGUCAAUUUCCCUCACUUUUCGAAUGAAGACUUUU